GAUGAACGCUGGCGGCGUGCCUAAUACAUGCAAGUCGAGCGAACAGACGAGGAGCUUGCUCCUCUGACGUUAGCGGCGGACGGGUGAGUAACACGUGGAUAACCUACCUAUAAGACUGGGAUAACUUCGGGAAACCGGAGCUAAUACCGGAUAAUAUAUUGAACCGCAUGGUUCAAUAGUGAAAGACGGUUUUGCUGUCACUUAUAGAUGGAUCCGCGCCGCAUUAGCUAGUUGGUAAGGUAACGGCUUACCAAGGCAACGAUGCGUAGCCGACCUGAGAGGGUGAUCGGCCACCCUGGAACUGGGCCACGGUCCAGACUCCUGCGGGAGGCAGCAGUCGGGAAUCUUCCGCAAUGGGCGAAAGCCUGACGGAGCAACGCCGCGUGAGUGAUGAAGGUCUUCGGAUCGUAAAACUCUGUUAUUAGGGAAGAACAAAUGUGUAAGUAACUAUGCACGUCUUGACGGUACCUAAUCAGAAAGCCACGGCUAACUACGUG
This 497-nucleotide ribosomal RNA is filed under the name uncultured bacterium. Its description in RNAcentral is "partial 16S ribosomal RNA". It matches the Rfam family "Bacterial small subunit ribosomal RNA", at positions 28 to 507 of the family's 1533-position model. The record is from RNAcentral.